RNAcentral lists this long non-coding RNA (847 nucleotides) under Phascolarctos cinereus (koala). RNAcentral describes it as "lncRNA (ENSPCIG00000002635.2)". Lineage: Eukaryota; Metazoa; Chordata; Mammalia; Diprotodontia; Phascolarctidae. The record is from RNAcentral.
CUGGGCAAGUCACUUAACCCCAACUGUCAAAAAAAUAAAAUAAAAUAAAAAGAAUGGGAUUUAUUGAUUUAAGAGUUGACUUAGAUGAGUGUUUUAUUGUGUUAAUUUUUUUGUAGGGUACAGUCUCUGCCUCAGCUAGUGGGAAAAGAAGCUUAUGAUUUGAGGAUCCUUUUUACUCCUAUAGCUGGAAGACUUUAGAAUAUCACUGAUAGUAGAAGCAUAUCUAUGCUAGGAGAGAAGUAGAAAACUUGUUCUUUACCCUAAAGCAGACCCAAUUCAGAUGUACGUCUUAUCAUCUUGAGAGAUUCAGCACAGGUAUUUUCUACUGUUGAAACUGCGUGUGGCCGCAAGCUUACUAUGUGUGUAUAUACUUUGAUGUAUAUGCUUAAAAAAUAAAGUUACUUGAAAACAUGUUUCAUAAUAAGUAUUAAGUUCCUAAAUCUUUUUCACCUAAACAUCUGUUACCAGCAGCAAAGUGGGCAAUAUCAGUGUUAUUGGUAAGAAGGCUGAAUGAUAUUUAUAACCUUUUAAGUUUAGUGUGAAAAGCUAUUAGGUUUAUCAUAGACUUUCUGAAUGUGCUUCUUCGGUGCCAGUUAUUGGAAGGCUUAGAGUUCUGACUUCCAAAGCAGUAGAAUUUUCAUCUGCUUUAUGCGAACAGGAUUGGUAAGCGGUUAUCCUUAUAAUUGACUGCUCUGAAAAUCCGGUCAAAAACUUCACAGAGUUCUUGGCUCCUGGUUGUGAUUGCCACACAUCCUGACUUCCACCCUAAUCCCACUUUCCACCAGCUUCUCUGCAUUCUAACACCAUAGCAAAAAAGACAAAAGAAAAAGAUCGUUUAAUAUUUAUG